CAGCGAUCGACCCUGCACUCGUGAGGGCUCGCCCGGAAGUCUGUGGCGCGGCCCCCGCUCCGGCCCGGCGGGACGAGGGGAGGCGUGAGCUCCUCUCAGUGUGGCCGUUCUCGGGGAAAGCGGGAGUCGUUUCGCCCUGCGAAAUGUGGCGACACGGAGCCCGGAAUUUGUACCGAAAUAAGCGGCUCGGUGAACCGCAGCAGUUCUGAGCCCUGAACAGAGAAAUGAAAUACUCUCGUAACACAACAUUCCUUUACAUCAGAGAGAUACAUUGUGGCAGUUGCUUUAAACAAAACGUAAAUUUGGAGAAAGUGCAAGUGUAGAUCUAAUUGGAACAUUCACACACAGAACAUUCUCAUGGUUUUUCUAGAAACCAGUAAGAUGUAACCAGAGACCUCCGGAUGGUAAAUUUUCUGAUGAAAACUACAAGGAAAAAAAUACUUUUUUGUCUUUUUAGAGAUCUCUUGAGUUCCAAUGUUAAGAAAUGACUACAAACAUCUUUAUUAAUGCUUUUAUUAAAUGUCAAAAACAAAAAAGUAUAACCUAGAAUCUCAAGAUAUAAAUAGCAGUUGCUGAGAACCUACCAUUAACUCUGCCUCUAAACAGCCAUUUAAAAAGACUAAUAACUGUAAUGAUAUGACAUUUUUGAAGUGAAAGAACCCCAGUAAUUAUAAACCUCAAACAAGUCUAGCAAGUUAAUAUUAAUUUUGUUCAUAUGAAAUAUGUUCAACAUGAUAAUAAAAACUUGUAUUUAAAUUAUUGAUUUUCCUUUGAACAUUUGUUAAGAAUUUAUCACAUCUUGAGUCUGAACGGUAAGAAAUACAAUGUUCUUACAUUGGAGAUUAUAUUUCAAGGCACAAAGGCAACACCCAGGCUAAAUUUUUUUUUAAUUGCUUACUAUGUCAAUAAAAGAAAAGACAUCAAUACCAUAAAGUUUUGAAAGUCAGAAUCAGAUGAAGAACAAAGCAGUCUUUACUCAAAAUUUACCAUGCCAGUCUUCCUUUGUGAGUAGUUAUAAAGCUUUCCUCCUUGCCUAUUGGUUCCAUCUCUAAGCCAAUAGGAAAAGUACAAC
Molecule: long non-coding RNA, 1072 nt
Organism: Heterocephalus glaber (naked mole-rat)
Lineage: Eukaryota; Metazoa; Chordata; Mammalia; Rodentia; Bathyergidae
Source: Ensembl